This 487-nucleotide ribosomal RNA is filed under the name uncultured bacterium. RNAcentral's name for it is "bacterial SSU rRNA". It matches the Rfam family "Bacterial small subunit ribosomal RNA", at positions 28 to 507 of the family's 1533-position model. The record is from RNAcentral.
GAUGAACGCUAGCUACAGGCUUAACACAUGCAAGUCGAGGGGCAGCACAGUGUAGCAAUACACGGGUGGCGACCGGCGCACGGGUGCGUAACGCGUAUCCAACCUUCCCGAUACUCUUGGAUAGCCUUCCGAAAGGGAGAUUAAUACAAGAUGGUAUUCAAAUUCCGCAUGUUAUUUGAAUUAAAGGAUUUAUCGGUAUCGGGAUGGGGAUGCGUGACAUUAGAUAGUAGGCGGGGUAACGGCCCACCUAGUCUACGAUGUCUAGGGGUUCUGAGAGGAAGGUCCCCCACAUUGGAACUGAGACACGGUCCAAACUCCUACGGGAGGCAGCAGUGAGGAAUAUUGGUCAAUGGGCGAAAGCCUGAACCAGCCAAGUCGCGUGAAGGAUGAAGGUUCUAUGGAUUGUAAACUUCUUUUGUCUGAGGGUAAAAAGCGGACGUGUCCGUUCUUGCAAGUAUCAGACGAAUAAGCAUCGGCUAACUCCGUG